CAAUGAAUGAAGCAUGAUAAUGUGCACAAAUUGAAUUGGGUCUCUAGGCAUGCCCUCUCUAAUGCCAUUCGGCUUUGAUUUGGGGGUAUAGUUCUGCAGCAAAACA
Small nucleolar RNA from Rhododendron vialii, 106 nucleotides. RefSeq annotates it as small nucleolar RNA snoR100. The record is from RefSeq and is a predicted model, not a curated record. The transcript has a single exon. NCBI's taxonomy places the organism in Eukaryota, Viridiplantae, Streptophyta, Magnoliopsida, Ericales, Ericaceae.